CAGUCGCCGCGGUAAUACGUAGGGUGCGAGCGUUAAUCGGAAUUACUGGGCGUAAAGCGUGCGCAGGCGGUUGUGUAAGACAGGUGUGAAAUCCCCGGGCUUAACCUGGGAACUGCGCUUGUGACUGCACAGCUAGAGUAUGGCAGAGGGGGGUGGAAUUCCACGUGUAGCAGUGAAAUGCGUAGAUACGCGGAGGAACACCGAUGGCGAAGGCAGCCCCCUGGGCCAACACUGACGCUCAUGCACGAAAGCGUGGGGAGCAAACAGGAUUAGAUACCCGCGUAGUCCCUGUCUCUUAUAC
Molecule: ribosomal RNA, 301 nt
Filed under: uncultured bacterium
Lineage: Bacteria
Description: partial 16S ribosomal RNA
Rfam family: Bacterial small subunit ribosomal RNA
Source: RNAcentral